Molecule: long non-coding RNA, 2228 nt
Organism: Salvia splendens (bonfire salvia)
Lineage: Eukaryota; Viridiplantae; Streptophyta; Magnoliopsida; Lamiales; Lamiaceae
Exons: 2
Source: RefSeq, a predicted model, not a curated record
UUGAUCACAUCCCUCCUGAUAUAUCUAUAUCUACAUCCUGUCACAGCAUCUCUCUUAGACUCUCACUCCAUUUUGUUUUUUCAUAUAUCUCUCUCAAAUCCAAUUUAUUUUUUCAUCUCUCUCUCAAAUCCAUUUUGUUUUUUCAUAUCUCUCUCGAAUCUUUGCUUAAGGUUGAUAUUAGCACACAAUCGACUCUGAUUUGUGAUUGUUCUGGUUACGCGUCUGCAGGGGAACUUGGAAGGGAAGGUCAAUUUCUUUUCCUUUUUCGGAUCCGCUCGCUCUGUAUUGUACUUGUAUUUCAGAAUCCUAAUUCAAUAGUCAUCAUGCUUUUCUAAAUGAAACAGAGUUUAUCAAAUUCAAGCCACAUCCACGUUUUGAUAUAUUAUCAAAUUCAACCCAAAUUUUCUUUAAUUUGCACUAUUUUUCAACUGAUUAAAGUACAAAAAUGUCAUUUUUCACUUUGUUUCAUUUUUUGACAUUUUCACUUUGUUUCGUCAUUUUUACUUUGUUUCAUUUUUAUUUACUACAAUGACUUUCUUUCUCUCUAAGAUUGGGUCUGUGCGAAUGUAUGAGAGAAUGUCGCUGAAAGAGCAAAAGCAAGAAUCAAUAUCUACAAAUGCAACAUGGAGUAGAAAAGGUGUAAGGGAAAUGGGAUGCGAAGCCAUGAUGAUGUGAAAAAACACUCGAAGGAUGUACACCACAUUGUUUCUGGUAGAACCUGCAGGGCAUGUGGAAACUACAUCGAGGAGCUUUCUUGCAGAAGUUUUCACCCUUGUCUGAUGAGUCUAGGAAAGUUUCCUCUAGCCCUUCUUUAGGGACAAAAGGUGAUUCGCUCACCCCAGGCGCCCCCAUAACCCGGCCCGACAUCGCUAUGGAGGGGUUCAAACACGGUACCUCAGCGGCCCAUUAGGUGGGAGGAACUUACACUGGUAACCAGCACACAAGGAGCCACCACAGUGGUGAAACUCCCACACUGCGGCUGCCAGCAUUCGAUCCUGUCUGCUUAGGGACAAUCUACCACCCAGGAACCAACUGAGUUAAGCCCGUGCGGGCAUCCUCUAGCCCUUCUUUGUUUGCAUUGUUUGUUACCCGACAUGUCUGGCGGCCUAGUAGUAUUCUGAAAACUUAUUCUGAUCUCAGAAUAUGUCAAGACACUCAACAAAGACCUUACUAUAGGUUUAUCUUACUAUAUCGAGGUGAAUGACCUUUUACAAGGUGUUCAGGUUGAACAUAUAAAUGAGACACAAUGCAAGAAGAUUUAUUUGAUUGCUAAAGAGCAAACAAAUGAUUUAGAGUAAGCAUAUUUGGUCUUUCUUGUGUAUUGUUAUUGAAUUUAUUAACAAUUGACACUAUACAAGUUUUCCUUCCAUGGAAAGAAAAUACUGUAAAGGUCUUCCUUCAAUUGCAUAAUACUUCCAUCAGGAGAAAAAAAUACUCUAAUUUAUCCUUUCUUGCCAACCUUCAGUUGGCACUGGUCAAACCCCAUUUAUCUUCCAAUAGAGGUAAUUGUUUGUCGACGUGUUAUAGUUAAUUCUCUUAAGGCUUUUUUAAUGUAGUUCUUUUUGACCUAUCAGUAUUGUAAGAUUGUUCUGGGGUAGAGAUACUUCCAUCAUAAAGACAGUUCAAUCAUAAAGGUAAGAACUCAAAAUGAUGAUUGUCAUCUUUAUAUCUUGCUUAAAAUACUUAUUUGCGCAGGUAGCUAAAAAUAGUGCGUAUAACGAAAUUGCCUUUGUGAAGAAAUUUAAUAUUAAUGUUGGGAUAUGAUGGCGUCUAUAUAGGCACGAUUGUUGUCUCCGCCUGUGGUAUGAUGCUAAUAAAUAUUUAUUGUCAUUUUCAUAUUUCAGGGAUUGUAAUAUUCCAUUUUCUUAAAACUUGACAACUACUAUACCACGAAAGCACUAGUAAAAGUAUCCCGAUGGUUCCAAAGGAGGGAGAGUAGAGUGUGCCUAAUUUGGAAUUUAAUCCAAAGCCAAUUGCUCAUAAACUGAAAGCUCAUGGCCCGGUCGAGAUGCACUUGGGCCACAACUGCAGCUGCUGUUGCUCGUGCGGGAACCUGUGUUGCAAAAUAGUUGCAUUUAUAAAGUCAACAACAACUCGGAGAAUUUCAUAUCAACUACUGAAAGAAGAAAGGAUAUAGUUAUAUAAAUGUCAAUAUCCGUUUCUUUAGUGAGAUAACACUGCUAUAUCAUUUUUCCCUUACAUAUAAAUCAUGAAACUGGACUUAUUCA